Molecule: non-coding RNA, 78 nt
Organism: Acanthosepion pharaonis
Lineage: Eukaryota; Metazoa; Mollusca; Cephalopoda; Sepiida; Sepiidae
Source: the annotation of a GenBank genome assembly
CGAUCACCGAAGUUAAGCAAUGUUGAGCCUUGUCAGUACCUAGGUGGGUGACCGCUUGUGAAUACCAGGUGUUGUAGG